Propithecus coquereli (Coquerel's sifaka) is the source of this 627-nucleotide long non-coding RNA. RefSeq lists it as uncharacterized. The transcript has 2 exons. The record is from RefSeq and is a predicted model, not a curated record. NCBI's taxonomy places the organism in Eukaryota, Metazoa, Chordata, Mammalia, Primates, Indriidae.
GGAUUGAAAUAUAUUUCAAAGAAAAAAAUGAUAUUAAUAAGAGAUUAAUAAGCACAUACUAUCAGGGAGGCACCACACUAGCACUGUGAACACUAAGAAUCUUCCAGAUGCAUUUUUAUAAUGAUACUAUAUCAGGCUACCGAGAUCAACUGCCAAAGCCCAAUCUGCCACAGGAAUCUUCCUAGAAGAAAAGAAUGUUUCAUCGGAGACAGUCAUUCAUCCUAGCCCACACCUCUCCUGCUUCUGAUCUUCCACUGUUAAAAGCAUAACGCACUGGAGGAAGAUUGUGCUAUAUUUCAUGAGUGCUCUGUGCCGCCACCAAGGGACAGUCCCAUCUGUUAUUUGCUCUCAGCUUUGCUUACUGAUAAAACAGGAAGGACAGCUUGCUGAUGGGCUCUUUGAAGCAAAUGGAUUCUCUCUUUCCUGCAAUUAAUGUUUAUAAAUUAUUUCUACAGUAGACAGCAUGUAUGGUACCAUGAUUUCAAAAUUAGUUUCAAUAAAUUAAGGGCCUGCAUUCAUUACAAGAGGAGCUUGAUGACAAUGCAACUCAUGGGGUUUACUGUUGCACUCUACCUUUCGUGAAAAUUGGGGCAUGAAAUCAAACACUCUCAUUAAUUCUGCUGAUUA